This 844-nucleotide ribosomal RNA is filed under the name Monacha martensiana. RNAcentral describes it as "partial 16S ribosomal RNA". The record is from RNAcentral. Lineage: Eukaryota; Metazoa; Mollusca; Gastropoda; Stylommatophora; Hygromiidae.
AUAAUCUAAAAGUCUGUUAAAUUAAAGUACACGAAAUCAGUUGAGCUAAUUUUUAUAGCCUUUUAGGGUAUUGUAUUUAACGUAUUAUAGUUAAACUAAUAAUAAAAAUUAGGGGUGAAAGGCUUCUCAAAAUUGAGUAUAUCUUGAUACUAAGGAAAUAUAUUAAGUAUAAAAUACAAACUAAAAAUGGUGAGGUUUUUAGUAAAUAUAAUGUUAGGAGUUAUAUAGUUUUGGUUUUUAUAAUAAAUACCAAUUUUUUUCUUACUAAUAUUUAUUACUUCUUUUAUAUAUUCUAUACUUAGUUGUAUUCUUAAUACUUGUAUAUAUUAAUAAUGAUUAUAUUAGUAUUAGUAUUAAAUCUAUAUAAGGAACUCGGCAAUUUAAAUCUCAACUGUUUAUCAAAAACAUAGUUUCAAGAAAUUAUUUGAAAUAUAACCUGCUCAAUGAAAUGUUAAAUAGCCGCAGUACCUUGACUGUGCAAAGGUAGCAUAAUCAAUUGGCUUAUAAUUGAAGUCUGGAAUGAAUGGGAAAUUGGGGUUUUACUGUCUUAUUUAGAUCCCUAGAAAUUACUUAAUAAGUGAAAAUUCUUAUAAAUAAGAAAAUAGACGAGAAGACCCUAGAAAUUUUAAUAAUAGAUUACAUUUUUGUUGGGGCGACAAGGUAACAUAUAACUUACCUAACUAUAUGGGCAAUUUUAAUUUGGGUAAACAAAUUACUCUAGGGAUAACAGCAUAAUAUUAAAAAGAUUGUGACCUCGAUGUUGGACUAGGGAGUGUAUUACUUAAAAGGUAAUAUAAUAGGCUCUGUUCGAGCUUACACCCUACAUGAUCUGAGUUCAGACCGG